This 376-nucleotide ribosomal RNA is filed under the name uncultured bacterium. RNAcentral's name for it is "bacterial SSU rRNA". It matches the Rfam family "Bacterial small subunit ribosomal RNA", at positions 524 to 898 of the family's 1533-position model. The record is from RNAcentral.
UACGAAGGGUGCAAGCGUUACUCGGAAUUACUGGGCGUAAAGCGUGCGUAGGCGGUUCGUUAAGUCUGUCGUGAAAGCCCUGGGCUCAACCUGGGAAUUGCGAUGGAUACUGGCGAGCUAGAGUACGGUAGAGGAUGGUGGAAUUCCCGGUGUAGCGGUGAAAUGCGUAGAGAUCGGGAGGAACACCCGUGGCGAAGGCGGCCAUCUGGACCAGUACUGACGCUGAGGCACGAAAGCGUGGGGAGCAAACAGGAUUAGAUACCCUGGUAGUCCACGCCCUAAACGAUGCGAACUGGAUGUUGGGCACACUUAGGUGCUCAGUGUCGAAGCUAACGCGUUAAGUUCGCCGCCUGGGGAGUACGGUCGCAAGACUGAA